UACAGAGGUCCCAAGCGUUACUGAGAAUCACUGGGUUUAAAGGGUGCGUAGGUGGUCUGUUAAGUCUGUUGUGAAAUCCCCGGGCUCAACCCGGGAAUAGCUUCGGAUACUGGCAGACUUGAGGCCAGUAGAGGUCACUAGAACAGACGGUGGAGCGGUGAAAUGCGUAGAUAUCGUCUGGAAUGCCUGUGGUGAAGACGGGUGACUGGGCUGGUUCUGACACUGAGGCACGAAAGCGUGGGGAGCGAAUGGG
Molecule: ribosomal RNA, 253 nt
Filed under: uncultured bacterium
Lineage: Bacteria
Description: partial 16S ribosomal RNA
Rfam family: Bacterial small subunit ribosomal RNA
Source: RNAcentral